This 1314-nucleotide ribosomal RNA is filed under the name Escherichia coli. Its description in RNAcentral is "partial 23S ribosomal RNA". It matches the Rfam family "Bacterial large subunit ribosomal RNA", at positions 591 to 1890 of the family's 2925-position model. Lineage: Bacteria; Pseudomonadati; Pseudomonadota; Gammaproteobacteria; Enterobacterales; Enterobacteriaceae. The record is from RNAcentral.
GUGUGACUGCGUACCUUUUGUAUAAUGGGUCAGCGACUUAUAUUCUGUAGCAAGGUUAACCGAAUAGGGGAGCCGAAGGGAAACCGAGUCUUAACUGGGCGUUAAGUUGCAGGGUAUAGACCCGAAACCCGGUGAUCUAGCCAUGGGCAGGUUGAAGGUUGGGUAACACUAACUGGAGGACCGAACCGACUAAUGUUGAAAAAUUAGCGGAUGACUUGUGGCUGGGGGUGAAAGGCCAAUCAAACCGGGAGAUAGCUGGUUCUCCCCGAAAGCUAUUUAGGUAGCGCCUCGUGAAUUCAUCUCCGGGGGUAGAGCACUGUUUCGGCAAGGGGGUCAUCCCGACUUACCAACCCGAUGCAAACUGCGAAUACCGGAGAAUGUUAUCACGGGAGACACACGGCGGGUGCUAACGUCCGUCGUGAAGAGGGAAACAACCCAGACCGCCAGCUAAGGUCCCAAAGUCAUGGUUAAGUGGGAAACGAUGUGGGAAGGCCCAGACAGCCAGGAUGUUGGCUUAGAAGCAGCCAUCAUUUAAAGAAAGCGUAAUAGCUCACUGGUCGAGUCGGCCUGCGCGGAAGAUGUAACGGGGCUAAACCAUGCACCGAAGCUGCGGCAGCGACGCUGAUGCGUUGUUGGGUAGGGGAGCGUUCUGUAAGCCUGCGAAGGUGUGCUGUGAGGCAUGCUGGAGGUAUCAGAAGUGCGAAUGCUGACAUAAGUAACGAUAAAGCGGGUGAAAAGCCCGCUCGCCGGAAGACCAAGGGUUCCUGUCCAACGUUAAUCGGGGCAGGGUGAGUCGACCCCUAAGGCGAGGCCGAAAGGCGUAGUCGAUGGGAAACAGGUUAAUAUUCCUGUACUUGGUGUUACUGCGAAGGGGGGACGGAGAAGGCUAUGUUGGCCGGGCGACGGUUGUCCCGGUUUAAGCGUGUAGGCUGGUUUUCCAGGCAAAUCCGGAAAAUCAAGGCUGAGGCGUGAUGACGAGGCACUACGGUGCUGAAGCAACAAAUGCCCUGCUUCCAGGAAAAGCCUCUAAGCAUCAGGUAACAUCAAAUCGUACCCCAAACCGACACAGGUGGUCAGGUAGAGAAUACCAAGGCGCUUGAGAGAACUCGGGUGAAGGAACUAGGCAAAAUGGUGCCGUAACUUCGGGAGAAGGCACGCUGAUAUGUAGGUGAAGUCCCUCGCGGAUGGAGCUGAAAUCAGUCGAAGAUACCAGCUGGCUGCAACUGUUUAUUAAAAACACAGCACUGUGCAAACACGAAAGUGGACGUAUACGGUGUGACGCCUGCCCGGUGCCGGAAGGUUAAUUGAUGGGGU